UACGAAGGGGGCUAGCGUUGUUCGGAUUUACUGGGCGUAAAGCGCACGUAGGCGGAUUGUUAAGUCAGGGGUGAAAUCCUGGAGCUCAACUCCAGAACUGCCUUUGAUACUGGCAAUCUCGAGUCCGGAAGAGGUAAGUGGAACUCCUAGUGUAGAGGUGGAAUUCGUAGAUAUUAGGAAGAACACCAGUGGCGAAGGCGGCUUACUGGUCCGGAACUGACGCUGAGGUGCGAAAGCGUGGGGAGCGAACGGG
RNAcentral lists this ribosomal RNA (253 nucleotides) under uncultured bacterium. Its description in RNAcentral is "partial 16S ribosomal RNA". It matches the Rfam family "Bacterial small subunit ribosomal RNA", at positions 524 to 776 of the family's 1533-position model. The record is from RNAcentral.